ACUCGAGUGGCGAACGGGUGAGUAACACGUGGGUGAUCUGCCCUGCACUUCGGGAUAAGCCUGGGAAACUGGGUCUAAUACCGGAUAGGAGCCAUUUUUAGUGUGAUGGUUGGAAAGUUUUUUCGGUGCAGGAUGAGCUCGCGGCCUAUCAGCUUGUUGGUGGGGUAAUGGCCUACCAAGGCGGCGACGGGUAACCGGCCUGAGAGGGUGGACGGCCACAUUGGGACUGAGAUACGGCCCAG
Molecule: ribosomal RNA, 242 nt
Filed under: uncultured Actinomycetales bacterium
Lineage: Bacteria; Bacillati; Actinomycetota; Actinomycetes; Actinomycetales
Description: partial 16S ribosomal RNA
Rfam family: Bacterial small subunit ribosomal RNA
Source: RNAcentral